This 137-nucleotide ribosomal RNA is filed under the name Mystropetalon thomii. RNAcentral describes it as "partial 18S ribosomal RNA". It matches the Rfam family "Eukaryotic small subunit ribosomal RNA", at positions 1698 to 1831 of the family's 1831-position model. Lineage: Eukaryota; Viridiplantae; Streptophyta; Magnoliopsida; Santalales; Mystropetalaceae. The record is from RNAcentral.
CCGGGAAGGUUCGGAUCGCUGUGACCUGGGCGGUUCGCUGCCUGCGACAUGGCGAGAAGUCCACUGAACCUUAUCAUUUAGAGGAAGGAGAAGUCGUAACAAGGUUUCCGUAGGUGAACCUGCGGAAGGAUCAUUGU